AACUGUGCUUAUAGCACUGACUACAUAAUGGGAUUUGGAGUCCUGAGAAAUUACUACAGCCAGUGAUGUGCUGGAGCUAAACGCUACUCUUACAAGAGCCAGUGGAAUCAUCAGGCAAAGCUAGUAACAUCAGAGGUGUUCACUGAAUAGCUGAGCUGAAAAAACCCACCUUCUGAAAGCAGAGUGAAAGUGGAGCCUCAUGGUGGUCUGGGGAAUAUGGCAUUUCCAUUCACAGUCCAAGCAACAAGAGAAACAAGUAACAAUUUAGAAAUGGCACUGAAGAUAGAAUUCCAGAGUUGUCAGCACUCUGACAGCAGUUUGCAGUGGUGUCAAAUUCCUACCAUAGGAGAUGGAACAGAGGAGCAAACAAAGCAGGGGCUGUAAACCCAGCCCCUCCAGCACUGGGCAGGGAAAUAUACAAUGUGGUGAUUCAGUAAUUCUAUAUAUUACUCAGUGCUCAUCAUG
Molecule: long non-coding RNA, 465 nt
Organism: Lutra lutra (Eurasian river otter)
Lineage: Eukaryota; Metazoa; Chordata; Mammalia; Carnivora; Mustelidae
Exons: 5
Source: RefSeq, a predicted model, not a curated record